This 1216-nucleotide long non-coding RNA is filed under the name Ananas comosus (pineapple). RNAcentral's name for it is "long non-coding RNA (ACOM_LNC019404)". Lineage: Eukaryota; Viridiplantae; Streptophyta; Magnoliopsida; Poales; Bromeliaceae. The record is from RNAcentral.
AUCAAAUAUGAAACUUUAUUUGCGAUAACUUCUGAUGAUGAGCUUUCUUGUUAUUUAUUAGUAGGUACAUACUUCCAACCUUGCCUCUCACGUGGUUGUUUAGGUUAUCGUUUGUGUAUUGUUUUGCACCUUUGUGUUCAAACAUAGCAGCCGGGGUAUAGCAGCUCCUGUUAUGAUCUUUAACACUACUGACACUUUUUAUAUAAAAUAUGACUGUAUGAACAUUGUUCUUACUCCUAAGCUUCCCAAAAUUCCUAGACAUUGACUGAUAACAUACAAAACUUUCCAAAUUAAAUUAAUAAAGCCUUUAGCCUUAAAAGAUUAAACACAUUAGCAGAACUCAGAUCUUGCAGAUUCUCAAUUUUAGUGCCUCAGAGCAAGCAACGAUCAAAUUUCAUGUUGUAACCAAAUUGUGAAACCUAAAGCAAAUCCAGAUCCAAAUUAACCUAACUGAAUUGUCUUUUCUUGUUUCUUUGUUCGGUUCUUGUUUGUUUUAUAAACUAAAUAUGAGGAAACAAAACCUUAGUUCGCUAAAUAUGAGGAAACAAAACCUUAGUUCUAAUCUAGGCAGACAUAUGUCGCUUUGCAGUGUUCAUGGGGAACAAAGCCCACUCCACCAGGUACAGUAUCAAACCUGCUGCCGCCCCCUGUUUCACCUUUCCAGUUCCUACCAGCCGGCUACACUGCGACAAAGCUUCUGGCUUAUCAGCGCCAGCUCGCCUUGAGCCAGGCAGCUGCUGCAGAAAUUAGAAUAACCGAACAAAACCUUUGUUCGGUUAUUGUUUGUUUUAUAAACUAAAUAUGAGGAAACAAAACCUUAGUUCGCUAAAUAUGAGGAAACAAAACCUUAGUUCUAAUCUAGGCAGACAUAUGUCGCUUUGCAGUGUUCAUGGGGAACAAAGCCCACUCCACCAGGUACAGUAUCAAACCCGCUGCCGCCCCCUGUUUCACCUUUCCAGCUCCUACCAGCCGGCUACACUGCGACAGAGCUUCUGGCUUAUCAGCACCAGCUCGCGUUGAGCCAGGCAGCUGCUGCAGAAAUUAUUGCCUGCAGCUGGUGAACCACGCCAGCAACACACCAUCCAACCUGUUGCUAUCCAUCACUGCUAUACUUAAAAGCCUCACUGUCCACGAGUUGCAGCCCUUUUUUCAUUUAAAAUAUUACUUUCCAUAAAAUACAAUUACUUAUUUUUUUAAAAAAAGAACAAUUACUUAC